RNAcentral lists this ribosomal RNA (274 nucleotides) under Lophyra flexuosa. RNAcentral describes it as "partial 16S ribosomal RNA". Lineage: Eukaryota; Metazoa; Arthropoda; Insecta; Coleoptera; Carabidae. The record is from RNAcentral.
AACUUUUAAGUCAAAAGGCUUAAAUGUUUAUAAAAGACGAGAAGACCCUAUAGAUCUUUAUUUAAUUAAAAUUUUAAUAAUUUAGGAUUAUUUUAAUUUAAAUUUUUAAUUAAAUUUUAUUGGGGUAAUAUAAAGAUUAAAUAAAUUCUUUUUAUUAAUUACAUUGAUUUAUGAAUAUAUGAUCCAAUAUUAUUGAUUAUAAGAUUAAGUUACCUUAGGGAUAACAGCGUAAUUUUUUUGGAGAGCUCAUAUCGAUAAAAAAGUUUGCGACCUC